Molecule: long non-coding RNA, 253 nt
Filed under: Elaeis guineensis (African oil palm)
Lineage: Eukaryota; Viridiplantae; Streptophyta; Magnoliopsida; Arecales; Arecaceae
Description: long non-coding RNA (EGUI_LNC030409)
Source: RNAcentral
GUGGAGGAAUGACUCCCUCCGGGGUUUCGGUGUGUCAAUGAUGGCUUCCGACCAACCAAGAGUCAACAUGGGCGAGGAUCACGUGACCUCUGGGAACGCAAUCGCCACGUUGGCCCAGGCUCAAUUCCUUCUCCCAUGGAUGGGAUUGGGAGGGAAUACUCCCCGUCAAUUUCUCCGCACCGCCGGUCCGGUUCAUUCCACGGAUAACCGCCGCGCGAGUCCAAGCCCGUUUGGUUGCCCAGAUUAUCAUAUU